Molecule: long non-coding RNA, 1286 nt
Filed under: Cyanistes caeruleus (blue tit)
Lineage: Eukaryota; Metazoa; Chordata; Aves; Passeriformes; Paridae
Description: lncRNA (ENSCCEG00000005273.1)
Source: RNAcentral
AGGGAAUGCCAUUGGAGCGUGCUGGAGGAACCAGAGCGCUGCAAUCAAUAAUUUAUUGAUGAUUGAUUGAUUGAUUCCUGGAUGAUCCCAGCAGGCUGGGGCUCCCUCAUGGCUGAUCUCCCAGAGCUGUUGGGAAGUUUGCCGUGGUUUUCCCCUCACAUUCCAGGCACUGAGGGUGGGAGACCUUUGAAACCUCCUGGAAGUUUCCAGAUGGCACCGGUACCUCCAGAGGGUGGUGAUACCAUUUGGGAUGAGCCCCCUUUGUGUGUUAUUCCCAUGAUAUUCCUGAAUUCCAGGCCUGUCCCACAGCUGUGGAUGCCCUGGGUGCUCAGGCCCUGCACAGAGCAGCUGUGACAGCCCAGGAUGGAUCCAUCCAGUUCCUGGUGUCCGAGCUGGGCGUGGAUGUCAACGGGAGAGCGACGUCCCUGCGGCUGCCAGCCCUGCACUACGCUGCCAAGCAGGGAGAGGGGAGAUCCCACCUGGAGCAACAGAUCCCAGCCCUGGGAGCAACAUCAGGAGGAUCUGGAGAGUCCAGAGGAGUGCACGGAGCUGCUCCAGCUCUGGAGCCAGGCUGGGAGAGCUGGGAAUGUUCUCCUGGAGAAGGGAAGGAUCCAGGGAGAGCUUCCAGCACAUUCCAGGGCCUGGAGGGGCUCCAGGAGAGCUGGAGACGGACUGGGGACAAGGCCUGGAGGGACAGGACACAGGGAAUGGCUUCCACUGCCAGAGGGCAGGGAUGGAUGGGAUCUGGGGAAGGAAUUCCUGGCUGGGCUGGAAUUCCCAGAGCAGCUGUGGCUGCUCCAGAUCCCUGGAAUGUCCAAGACCAGCUUGGAUGGAGCUUGGAGCAGCCUGGGAUGGUGUGAGGUGUCCCUGCCAUGGCAGGGGUGGCACUGGGUGGGUUCUGAGGUCCUUCCCACCCCAGGAAUUCCAUGUUUGUUUCAUGAAUUCCAGCUGCCAGCUGGGGAGGGACAGGAGAUGUGGCAAAGAAGAGCUGGGAAGGCAGGGGAAGCUCCUGGGAUUUUAUCUGUGUCCUUCACACUGGAGUUGUUUUGAAUUCCAGAACCACUGGAGCUUUCUCCUCCUCCCAGCCCAUGUGGGAAGCAGAGCUGUGAGUCCUGCAGCAUUCCCUGGGAAUGCAGAGCAGAUCCCAAAACUUCCCAGCUGAACAGGAUCCCUCCUGGCAUCUGGGAUCUGUCCCUGUUCAGAUCCAGGAAUGUUAAACCCAGAUUUUAACAUCCCUCUGAACCUUGUGGUGGGAAUAAAACCUCAUCCCAGUGUCCUGCUCCUAC